RNAcentral lists this ribosomal RNA (41 nucleotides) under cf. Lactarius sp. EC267 B452. Its description in RNAcentral is "partial 28S ribosomal RNA". The record is from RNAcentral. Lineage: Eukaryota; Fungi; Basidiomycota; Agaricomycetes; Russulales; Russulaceae.
CCCUUGACCUCAAAUCGGGUGAGACUACCCGCUGAACUUAA